This is a non-coding RNA of Coturnix japonica (Japanese quail), 1185 nucleotides long. The record is from RefSeq and is a predicted model, not a curated record. NCBI's taxonomy places the organism in Eukaryota, Metazoa, Chordata, Aves, Galliformes, Phasianidae.
CAAAUUGGGACAAAUCCAUGUGGCACAGCACCUCUUCAACUGUGUCAGACAGAUGUCACUCACGUUCCUGAAUUUGGCUGUCUAAAAUAUGCACAUGUAACGAUAGAUUCUCAUUCUUCUUACGUAUUUGCCACAGCACAUACAGGUGAACAUAGUCAUGACACCCGUAAACACUAGUUAUCUGCUUAUGCUGCUAUGGGAAUCCCACAUACUACAAAAACACAUAAUGGGUCUGCGUAUACCUCUAAGGCCACUCGAACUUUCCUCCAAGAAGGGGGUGUUAAACAUACUACAGCCAUUGCUCAUUCUCCCACUGGACAAGCAAUCACUGAGCACAUUUAUCAAACAUUGAAAUCCAUUCUUAUUAUUAUUAAACAAAAAAGGGCGGAUAUGGGAGACACACUACAAGAAAUAUUAUGCAAGGUUUUGCUUGUUUUGUUUGUGCUGAAUUUUUUGAAUCGUGAUCAUAGAGAUACAGCUUAUGUGGAUUGUCAUUUUGAGGCUUCCCCAGUGCUAAAGGAACAGCCUAUGGUUAAUGUUUGGAAUAUGGCCACAGGACUUUGGGACUGUACCCUAGCACUGACAACUUGGGGUCAUGAACAUGCUCGUAUUUCCACAGGGACUGGCCCUACGUGGGUUCCAGCAUGAUAUGUUCGGUCUCAUCUGAAGGCAGGAAAUAGCAUCCAGCCUUCAUAGUAAUUGUAAUUGCGUGUUUCUUACUUAGUGGUCUUGCUUUGUAACCUGCUGUGUUAUAGAUAAUAUUAGUAAUAGUUUGACAUAGUGUGUGAUUUUCUGUUUUACCGAUGCGGUCUAAAGAAUUAGAGUUUAAGGCACUAGCUAGGAUGUUGUGUGCUUCUUCUAUUUUAGUAAUAGAUCAGAUGUGUAUUAAACAGGAUUUGAUCUAAUCAAUGCUAGAACCUACAGGAAUAGCUCUUUUAAUGUUUUAGUACUGUUAGGUUAUGAUGUUAUUAUCCUAUUAAUUAGCUUUUCUUAAUUUGCAAAGACAAAACCUGGAAAGGAAUCCCAGUCAAAGAGAUGACCCUGUAUCAUAGAAUAGAUACCUCUCUUACAUCCAACUAAUUGGGAUUUUUGAAAUAUAACCAUGCAUCAUUUUAGACAAAAGUGCACGCUAAUAGAACUAAAUUUGAUAGUUUAUUCUGUUUUCCAAGCAGGUGUUCCACUUGG